Long non-coding RNA from Oryctolagus cuniculus (rabbit), 1377 nucleotides. RefSeq lists it as uncharacterized. NCBI's taxonomy places the organism in Eukaryota, Metazoa, Chordata, Mammalia, Lagomorpha, Leporidae. The record is from RefSeq and is a predicted model, not a curated record.
UUAAUUGUCUGGAAGCUUCCAGUGCUCCUCCAGCAAUGCCAUCCCCUCCCCCGACCCCAGCCAGGCAUGGCCUCGGUUGGCCUGGAUUAUUAAUUAGGGCUUGGAGUCAUUUAACGAUGAUUUCAUUAUCGACGUGCUGUCUGUCUCGGGCUCAGCCCGGUUGCCAGGGCGACUCUGAUCGAUUGCCUUCCGGUCUCCUGCCUCUGCCCAGCCUGGCUGUGGACGACACCCCCUAGCGGCCGACGCUGGGAUUGCAGAGCAUCCAGGGCAAGGCUCGAAAACCGCCCUGGGGCAGAGAGAGAGUGUCUUCCAUCUUAUGGUUCAUUCCCCAAAUGCCUGCAGCAGCUGAGAGGGGCCCAGGCCUAAUCCAAGAGCCAGGAACUCCAUCCCGGUCUCCCAGGCCCAGCACGUAUUCUGAAUGAAGGAAGACUUUCCCACCCGGGCCGGCUGCCUCCUUCGGGUUUUGCCUCGUUCUCUCUCCGGAUCCUGCACCUGUCAGUGUCUCUGCCUCUCGGAGCAGGUGCUGAUGGCGGGCGAGGCGAGGAUGAGCUCCCUGCUAAUGAGCCUGGGAACGCAGUGGAAGAUGGCCCAAGUGCUUGGGCUCCUGCACCCAUAUGGGAGACCAGGAGGAAGCUCCUGGUUCCUGGCUUCAACCUGGCCCUGCUCCAGUUGUUUUGGCCAUUUGGGGAGUGAACCAGCAGAUGGAAGACCUCUUCUCACCCCUCUCUUUCUCUGUAACUGACAUUCAAAAAAAAAAAUGCUGUGUAAGGGCUUGUCUCACAUCCCAAGCAUAUUGUAUAUGAGCCAGUACUCAAUAAACCUCGAAACUUGAUGGCUGUCUCCUCUCUCUCGGAAUCCAUCGAUUUUAUGUGCAUGAUAGGCAUAGUUAUUGAUUGACAAGGGCCUGGCACAGAAGCUUGAAGUGAGACCGCCUUCUUGGGUCUCCGAGAGGCCAUUUGCUGCUGCCACACAAAACACCACCAAAACUUUGUAAGUCCUGAGUCCGUUGGCGUCUAAAGCUGCUCUCCACCCCACACACGUGGUCAGCACCCCGACACCAGAAGCGCAGACAACACCUCUCCACGCCUGACACCUGCUUUAUCGUCUGCACGUGGCAAAUGUCGACGUCUCGGCCGAGUUGCUCUAGCCCUCCAGCACGUCUUGGGCGACUUCUCUCCAUGAUCAGUUACCACGUGACGGGGUUCUGAAAUUUAAGUAGAAUCAGCUGGAAAGUCCCAUUUCCUUCAAAAAGUAUAUUCCCAGUGAGCAAAAAGUGAUUUCUGAAUUCUGUCCUUUUGGUUUUUCCCCUGUCGCUUUUUUCUUUUUCUUAUCACAGAAGUCACGAGGCAGAUGGGACGAGAAAGAACCCAGGGCCGA